Molecule: long non-coding RNA, 1767 nt
Filed under: Homo sapiens (human)
Lineage: Eukaryota; Metazoa; Chordata; Mammalia; Primates; Hominidae
Description: PREDICTED lncRNA (TCONS_00182850)
Source: RNAcentral
GCCGGGGCGUCCCCCGCGGGAGCCCGCAGCCACCCGGGACGCGCAUCCAGACGUGGCGCUUCGGACCGGGCACGCUGCGCCCGGGGGCUCGGCGGACCCCGCGUAGCCGCCGCUUCGGAGCUUGUGCGGCGCGGGCUGGCCAGCGGGGCGGCCAGGGCCCGGCCCGCCUCCCCAGCGCCCGCCCGGCUUCUCCCCCUGGCGGUGGGAGCCUCGGCGGCCGCUGGCGACACUAGGCGCACUGAAGCCCGAGCCGAGCCGAGCCCGAGCCGCCGCCGCCGCCGCCGCUGCUGCGCACCGCUCCCGGGCUCCCUCCCAGCGCGCCGGCCGGGGUGUGGGGGGCGGCGGGCCGGAGGGGCGAGGGCGGGCCAGGGGGCGCACACGGGGGUUGGCGCGGAAGACAGGACCCUCAGCCUCGAGGGAGCCCCUAGGUGACCAGGCAAAAUGGCAGUUCCUUCCAGCUGGUCCUCAGAUGGGCACAUCUAUUAGCCUCUGCUCUUGUAAGAAGUUAGCUGCAGAACCCACAUGUGAAUCCUUGUAGGACUCUGGAGAAGAUCAAAUGGGAGCUUAGAUGUGGAAGCUCUUUGGAAACCAAGAAACACUCUGAAAAUGAAAAGGGUGGAAGAGUAAACUGUUCCUGUUUCUCCAUCUUGACAGGAAGCAGAAGUUCUCCUUAGCUGAUUUUUCUUCUUGCCUUAUACUGGGUUCUUUAACACCAGAACAAAAAUAAAUAAAUAAAAGAAUCUUCCAGAAAUUCAUGAAGAGACUUCAGGUCAGGAAAGCCUGAACUUUCUCAUCCAACACCCGUUCAAGUCGGAGGAUGCUGAUUAAUUCAUGAUGGAAAGGUAUCAAUUUCACAGCCCAGACCUCUACAUUCUUGAAAUGCUCUUCUCAUGGGAGACAUUAAAUAAGCUUUGAAUUAACUUUCACUCCUAAACCCAUUGUGAUUUGAUUCUUCACCUAUUACACUCUGUGCCAUGACACCCAGGAUGCAGCUGUAGGAACACCACUGGGUCCCUGGAUGUCAUGUAAGCCCUUAAGUAAAAGUGCCAUCAAAUGAUUUCUCAGAAAUUAUAAAGAAACAAAAGGACCAUAAACAAGAUAAGGUGGCAUGAGGAAACAUUACAAGUACCUUUCAGAGCUGACUGGCAAAGAAACUCCUGAGGUGACGGUUCUACCCCAAUAUUACUUCUUCGAAGAGCAACCUAACUGGACUUAUCUUCCUCAGUUCUCUGUGAUGAACUUUUGUAGAGCCAUACGAAAGGAGGUUUUUAGCUCUCACCUGUGGUCUUUCUUCAUCAUGCACCUCCUAGAUUCAAAAGUUCAGCAGGGACAUGUCAAGCUAUAUAAAUAAAAACAAACUAAGAAAAAAUGUAACAUUCCAUACCUUAAAACGCAACCUUAAUAACGUGAAAGACCCUGAAGGACUUGAGACGUGAAGAUUUUCUACCACGGUCUUUGCCUGUAUUAUUUCUGACAGCUGUUCCUUUCUACUCCCUCUUGCACACAUCUUUAGUUACUCCCUGUUCUCCAUCCCUCUGAUAAAAUCUAGAGUUCCCCCCUCAAAUUAGAAAAUUAAAAAAAAUUAAAAAUCUAAAAUUAAAAUUUAAAAAAUUUUUAAAAAUCUAGAGUUUAAAAAAAAUGUUCUAUCUCAGGCUUGUGAACCAUAUUGUUAGUUCACAAUUAAGAAUGAUGUACAUCUAUUGGACAAGUUUUAAUUAAUUCUUUCCCUUGGCUGAUUAGUAAAUUUCUGCAGUGAGUACAAAUGUU